AACGCAGCACUGCUGUGCGGCGUGCCUAAUACAUGCAAGUCGAGCGAAUGGAUUGAGAGCUUGCUCUCAUGAAGUUAGCGGCGGACGGGUGAGUAACACGUGGGUAACCUGCCCAUAAGACUGGGAUAACUCCGGGAAACCGGGGCUAAUACCGGAUAACAUUUUGAACUGCAUGGUUCGAAAUUGAAAGGCGGCUUCGGCUGUCACUUAUGGAUGGACCCGCGUCGCAUUAGCUAGUUGGUGAGGUAACGGCUCACCAAGGCAACGAUGCGUAGCCGACCUGAGAGGGUGAUCGGCCACACUGGGACUGAGACACGGCCCAGACUCCUACGGGAGGCAGCAGUAGGGAAUCUUCCGCAAUGGACGAAAGUCUGACGGAGCAACGCCGCGUGAGUGAUGAAGGCUUUCGGGUCGUAAAACUCUGUUGUUAGGGAAGAACAAGUGCUAGUUGAAUAAGCUGGCACCUUGACGGUACCUAACCAGAAAGCCACGGCUAACUACGUGCCAGCAGCCGCGGUAAUACGUAGGUGGCAAGCGUUAUCCGGAAUUAUUGGGCGUAAAGCGCGCGCAGGUGGUUUCUUAAGUCUGAUGUGAAAGCCCACGGCUCAACCGUGGAGGGUCAUUGGAAACUGGGAGACUUGAGUGCAGAAGAGGAAAGUGGAAUUCCAUGUGUAGCGGUGAAAUGCGUAGAGAUAUGGAGGAACACCCAGUGGCGAAGGCGACUUUCUGGUCUGUAACUGACACUGAGGCGCAAAGCGUGGGGAGCAAACAGGAUCACAUACCCUGGUAGUCCCCGC
This 797-nucleotide ribosomal RNA is filed under the name Bacillus sp. T-42. RNAcentral's name for it is "bacterial SSU rRNA". It matches the Rfam family "Bacterial small subunit ribosomal RNA", at positions 21 to 800 of the family's 1533-position model. Lineage: Bacteria; Bacillati; Bacillota; Bacilli; Caryophanales; Bacillaceae. The record is from RNAcentral.